UGCUCUUUCGCGCUCUCUUAACCCGGUAUCUCUCUUCCUCCCCCUCUUCUUUCUCCAGCCUCUUCUCCAGGCUGCUGUCCCCGAGCCCCACCACUGCCGCCCGGACCCUCAAAGGGGCUCCGACUCCCUAUCUCCCUCCGUCAGUUUCUCCCUCCCGCGUCUCCCCUCUGUCCCUACUCAUCUCAGCAGGGGGGGGGGUGCUGUGGCUGAGGGCAGGCAGCCCCCCAUCUCCUGUCUCUCCCGUCUCACUCUCCUUGUCCUGUUUUAUCUCUGCUCUUGUCCCUCUCUCCUGUCCCUGACCCGUCCCUCCUAUUUCUAGCUUCUGGCUCUCCCCUUCGCUCCCCAUGUCUGAGGUUCCUGGCUGGGGUCCCCCGGGACUCCCCCACAGGCUUUGUGCAGUGGGGGGAGACCUCUGUGACACCCCUUUUCUCUGUUUCCUAUCUGCCCCGACUGUGGACACCGAGCGGAGCGGAGGAAGCAGGCUGUCCCAGGCCCAGGAAGGAGGCGCGUGGGGAACAGACGCGGAGACGCAGCCGCCAGCAGCAAGCACCCUCGGGGCUCCUAGUUGCCAGAAGAAAAGUCACCUGCCAGGACCGAGGCUCCAGGACCUUCCCCGACCCACAGCGCCACCCCCCCAGAAGGCAUCCGAGCGGGACCUGACCACCACCUGGCGGCAGAGGCCGGAACUGCAGCCCUGCGGAGGAGAGGCUGAAGGGGGGUGGGGGGCUCUGUAAGCCUCUGUAACAACUAAACGCUUAUAAACAUACUUCUCAAGCUUC
Long non-coding RNA from Erinaceus europaeus (western European hedgehog), 779 nucleotides. RefSeq lists it as uncharacterized. The transcript has 2 exons. NCBI's taxonomy places the organism in Eukaryota, Metazoa, Chordata, Mammalia, Eulipotyphla, Erinaceidae. The record is from RefSeq and is a predicted model, not a curated record.